This 525-nucleotide ribosomal RNA is filed under the name Salmonella enterica. Its description in RNAcentral is "partial 23S ribosomal RNA". It matches the Rfam family "Bacterial large subunit ribosomal RNA", at positions 711 to 1233 of the family's 2925-position model. Lineage: Bacteria; Pseudomonadati; Pseudomonadota; Gammaproteobacteria; Enterobacterales; Enterobacteriaceae. The record is from RNAcentral. RNAcentral also lists the same sequence under 2 other names.
AGACCCGAAACCCGGUGAUCUAGCCAUGGGCAGGUUGAAGGUUGGGUAACACUAACUGGAGGACCGAACCGACUAAUGUUGAAAAAUUAGCGGAUGACCUGUGGCUGGGGGUGAAAGGCCAAUCAAACCGGGAGAUAGCUGGUUCUCCCCGAAAGCUAUUUAGGUAGCGCCUCGUGAAUUCAUCUCCGGGGGUAGAGCACUGUUUCGGCUAGGGGGCCAUCCCGGCUUACCAACCCGAUGCAAACUGCGAAUACCGGAGAAUGUUAUCACGGGAGACACACGGCGGGUGCUAACGUCCGUCGUGAAGAGGGAAACAACCCAGACCGCCAGCUAAGGUCCCAAAGUCAUGGUUAAGUGGGAAACGAUGUGGGAAGGCCCAGACAGCCAGGAUGUUGGCUUAGAAGCAGCCAUCAUUUAAAGAAAGCGUAAUAGCUCACUGGUCGAGUCGGCCUGCGCGGAAGAUGUAACGGGGCUAAACCAUGCACCGAAGCUGCGGCAGCGACACUCAGGUGUUGUUGGGUAGGG